GACGAACGCUGGCGGCGUGCUUAACACAUGCAAGUCGAACGGAAAGGCCCUGCUUUUGUGGGGUGCUCGAGUGGCGAACGGGUGAGUAACACGUGAGUAACCUGCCCUUGACUUUGGGAUAACUUCAGGAAACUGGGGCUAAUACCGGAUAGGAGCUCCUGCUGCAUGGUGGGGGGUGGAAAGUUUCGGCGGUUGGGGAUGGACUCGCGGCUUAUCAGCUUGUUGGUUGGGUAGGGGCUUACCAAGGCUUUGACGGGUAGCCGGCCUGAGAGGGUGACCGGCCACAUUGGGACUGCGAUACGGCCCAGACUCCUAUGGGAGGCAGCAGUGGGGAAUAUUGCACAAUGGGCGGAAGCCUGAUGCAGCAACGCCGCGUGCGGGAUGACGGCCUUCGGGUUGUAAACCGCAUUCGCCUGUGACGAAGCGUGAGUGACGGUAAUGGGUAAAGAAGCACCGGCUAACUACGUG
Molecule: ribosomal RNA, 468 nt
Filed under: uncultured bacterium
Lineage: Bacteria
Description: partial 16S ribosomal RNA
Rfam family: Bacterial small subunit ribosomal RNA
Source: RNAcentral